CCCAUUUGUUCUCUCCCUGUGUGUCAAAUAACUUCAUUGCUGCAGGUGCAGCCCUGGUUUUGAAAAUCAGGAGCCUUGUCUCGCAUCUCCAGUUCUGCCACUGACAAGCUGUGAAAUGUGGGGAACAUCAAUCACCCAUCUCUCUGGCUUCAGUUUCCAUACCUAUAAAAUAAGCGUUGGACAGGUUGAAAUUCUUUCAGCUGUAGCAAAACUGUGAUUCUAUGAACCACACCAUUUGUUUUGUUGUCAUGGAAACAGCCUGAGGCUCAAUUAACCUUACUACCUACCCCAGAGGACCAACCCCGAGGCAGAGUGGUGCCCCUGCUUUAGAAGUCUCCACAGUUCAGCCAACUUCCGCUUUAUAAAAACACUGUGUGCCUCUCACCCAUCCUGAAUCUCCCAAAGGCACAUUUCUUGCACUGUGAAAACCUCCUGGGUGCCACACACAGGGACACCUCUGGAACUCAUCUGUCCUGAAGGAGAUUCCCCGACAGAGACGUAAGGACAUAUUUUCCUUAGAAAAUACUGGAGGUGAAGGUAUUGGACUUCAUCUGGUGACAAGCCCAGGCUAAGGCUAUUUAUGCCUCAGCUAAGA
RNAcentral lists this long non-coding RNA (595 nucleotides) under Homo sapiens (human). RNAcentral's name for it is "HSALNT0365831". Lineage: Eukaryota; Metazoa; Chordata; Mammalia; Primates; Hominidae. The record is from RNAcentral.